This is a long non-coding RNA of Vicia villosa (hairy vetch), 1390 nucleotides long. RefSeq lists it as uncharacterized. The transcript is spliced from 10 exons. The record is from RefSeq and is a predicted model, not a curated record. Lineage: Eukaryota; Viridiplantae; Streptophyta; Magnoliopsida; Fabales; Fabaceae.
UUAACAUUUUCCUCCUCACCUUUCCUCUCUCUCUUCACGAUUCAAAUUAUCAUUCUCUCUUCUCUUCUCAAACCCUAAAAGUGGCUGAACAAGCAAAACCUAGAACACGCCUCCCCGUCGUCCAAACAGUUGAAGCACGGGAGAUGAAUCAGUUUUAUCCACCAAAGCGGAAAAUCUUCAAAUCUUCGUUCUCUUCGAUCUCAGUUUUUCGCAAAUCACCCCGCAUUUUCUAUGUGGGCGAUGUUCCAAUCAGGGUGUUAAAUAGAUUAGACUGGAGCAUUAGGCUAUUAUGGUAAAUCCGGUGGUGGUAGAGCUGAUGAAGAGAAGGUUCUGAAAGUUUUGUGGGAGAAGGACGGUGAAGAUUAUUCUCUAUCCUUUUUGUUCAAUUGUAGUAUCUGCUGGGCUUCUCAGGAUUUUUGGCCGCAAUAUUGCAGAGUUUCCCAUGGUAGCUACAAGCAGAGAGUAUCAAGGAAAAGGUUAUUUUCAACUGCUAUUUUCUUGCAUAUAGAGGUUCUUGUCUUCUCUAAAUGUACAAAAGUUGGUUCUCCCUGCUGCAGGGGAUGCAGAGUCAAUUUAGACUAAGAAAUUUUGCUUUCUCAAGAUGAGUGAAGAUUAGGAACUUAGGACUAUAACCCUCACUACAAUCACCAGUAUCGACAUGCCUGAGAUUGCAGUACACAAAUUCAAAUUCAAGCCCUUUGCAGAAUUCUUGUAUGUAGAUUUUGAUGUUGAUCGCUUAUACGAUAUUAUUGGUGUCCUGCAACAAGUCGUUAGGACCCAGGUUAUAGGUGCUGGGAAAAAACUGUGUGUCAACCUAAUUUUGGCCAAUGAAUGUGGAGCUGAGAUUGAUCUCACCCUUUGGGAGAUGUAUGCAGAAAAGACUUAUAGCUUUUACUAAAGAAAACGGUCUACCGGUUGUCAUACUAACUCAUGCUUGGUAUCGCCAAAGUUCAACCACAUGGAAGCUUAAUCUUUCAAACGCUUGGAACAGUUCCAAACUACUACUCAAGUAGUUGAUUUCAAGGCUAGGUCUUUUCAGAAUUGAUGCCGAGAACCCAAAUGCAAAUGCAAAUGCCUGUUUACUUGAAUGAACUGAUUUAUGGUAUUUGGCAGCUUAAUCACUGAACUCUGAUGAAGCAACAGACCUUAAGCUACCACUGAAAGAAAGGUUCUUUCUUCAACCAUUGCCACCUACAGAAGCAGCAACAAGAAGUGCAUUUGAAGUGCAACAUUGCAUUCAUUUGAAGUGUGAUGGUCUAGAAAAAUCAAUUUAAUACUUUUGUUGGGAACUGUUCUGCCGGGGGGGUCUUGUAGUACUUAAGGUUUCGGAUAACAUUCUAUCUGUUAUGCUAUUUUUUUCUUCAUUUUCAAUUUAAAAGUGUUUCUUUCA